GAUGAACGCUGGCGGCGUGCCUAAUACAUGCAAGUCGAACGGAAGGUAGCAAUACCUUUAGUGGCGAACGGGUGAGUAACGCGUUGGUGACCUGCCCCGAAGCGUGGGAUAACAGUCCGAAAGGAUUGCUAAUACCGCAUGUGGUCCAAGAGACUAGAGGCUUAUGGACUAAAGGAGACAUUCACUUCGGGAGGGGCCUGCGUCCCAUCAGCUAGUUGGUAGGGUAACGGCCUACCAAGGCGAUGACGGGUAGGGGACCUGAGAGGGUGGCCCCCCACAAUGGAACUGAAACAACGGUCCAUACACCUACGGGUGGCAGCAGUAGGGAAGUAUUGCAAAAUAGGGCGGCAAGACCCGAUGCAGCAACGCCGCGUGGGCGAUGAAGGCCUUCGGGUCGUAAAGACCCUUUUCGUAGGGGAGUGAGGAAGGAC
This 431-nucleotide ribosomal RNA is filed under the name uncultured bacterium. RNAcentral's name for it is "bacterial SSU rRNA". It matches the Rfam family "Bacterial small subunit ribosomal RNA", at positions 28 to 458 of the family's 1533-position model. The record is from RNAcentral.